This 508-nucleotide ribosomal RNA is filed under the name uncultured bacterium. RNAcentral describes it as "bacterial SSU rRNA". It matches the Rfam family "Bacterial small subunit ribosomal RNA", at positions 18 to 518 of the family's 1533-position model. The record is from RNAcentral.
CCUGGCUUAGGAUGAACGCUAGCUACAGGCUUAACACAUGCAAGUCAGGGGCAGCAUAUCGAAGCUUGCUUGAUAGAUGGCGACCGGCGCACGGGUGCGUAACACGUAUCCAAUCUACCCAUGGCUCAGGGAUAGCCUUUCGAAAGAAAGAUUAAUACCUGAUGGUUUCAUGAUUCCGCAUGGACUUAUGAAUAAAGAUUUAUCGGCGAUGGAUGAGGAUGCGUCCGAUUAGCUCGUUGGCGGGGUAACGGCCCACCAAGGCGACGAUCGGUAGGGGCUCUGAGAGGAGGAUCCCCCACAUUGGAACUGAGACACGGUCCAAACUCCUACGGGAGGCAGCAGUGAGGAAUAUUGGUCAAUGGGCGAGAGCCUGAACCAGCCAAGUAGCGUGAGGGAUGACUGCCCUAUGGGUUGUAAACCUCUUUUGUUUGGGAAUAAAGUGAGCCACGUGUGGCUUUUUGUAUGUACCUUACGAAUAAGCAUCGGCUAAUUCCGUGCCAGCAGCCGC